This 3883-nucleotide long non-coding RNA is filed under the name Sus scrofa (pig). RNAcentral describes it as "lncRNA (ENSSSCG00065076433.1)". The record is from RNAcentral. Lineage: Eukaryota; Metazoa; Chordata; Mammalia; Artiodactyla; Suidae.
UUUUUUUUUUUUUUUUUUGGUCUUUUUGCUAUUUCUUGGGCCGCUCCCGUGGCAUAUGGAGGUUCCCAGGCUAGGGGUCAAACCGGAGCCGUAGACACUGGCCUACGCCAGAGCCACAGCAACGCAGGAUCCAAGCCGCAUCUGCAACCUACACCGCAGCUCACGGCAACGCCAGAUCGUUAACCCACUGAGCAAGGGCAGGGACCGAACCCACAACCCCAUGGUUCCUAGUCGGAUUCGUUAACCACUGCACCACGACGGGAACUCCAGGAAUGUUUUUAAUUGUAAGAGUGUAUGCUAGGUUCUCUGCACUAGUGACCCCAAUUACAAUCCUUUGAAGUGAAUGCUACCUCCAUUUUACAGAAGGAAUUCUGAGGCAUGUGAUUCUAAUAACUUUCCAUAGGUCACACAGCAAGUUAGAAGACCAGGCAUAACAGACGCUCAAAGAGUAUUGACUUUUCUUCAUAUGUGGACAUCCUUCUGUGGUUCAGAACCACCCACAAACUCCCUGGCCAAGGACAAGAGUUACAGGUUAAAACUUAGGCAGUGUAUGGCAAAGUCCCUUUCCUUUCUCUUUGGUCUGCAUUUGGUCAGGCCUCUGCACCCAGUGGGGAAUCCUUGGUUAGGCGAGAAGGGUGGUGUACUGGAAGGGGCAACAUGAAUUUUUUUUUCUUUCAUUUUUGGCCAUCCCACGGCAUAUGGAGUUCCCAGGCCAGGAAUGAGAUCCAAGCUGCAGGUGCAGCCUAAACUGCAGCUGUGACAACACCCAAGCCUUGAUCCACUGUGCUGGGGAGAUUGAGUCCCAGCACUCCCAAGAUGCCCCCAAUCCUACUGCGCCACAGUGGGAACUCCCGAAACCUGAAGUUUAAUCCUAGCUAUGGCUAUUUAUUAAUCUGGCAUCCAGCAAACUUCUGAGUGGCACCUAUAUUCAAGUUCCACCAAGCUUCAGGUGUUCCAUUUGUAAAAUGGGAAUACUAUUGGAUUACCCUGCCCAACUGGAUUAUAGGUAAAAAUAUAUAAAAGUCUGACAUAGUUAAGGGCUUUACACAUAAUCAGUGCUCAAUAAGUGGUAAUUAUUUUUUAAGUUUAUGGAACACAAUCCCUCAUUUUCCUCUUUAGUCACAAAGUUUUAAACUUUUUCACUCCAUUAAUUCUUUUAAAGUGUCUCUGACAUUCAGGCAGUGUGGUAUAUGGUGUCGGAGUCCUGGCUUUGGAGUCAAAUGCCUGUAUGGAUUUGGGAAAGUUGCUUAAACUAAGCAUUUGUUUUCUUACCUAUAAAAUAAGGAUGACACAGGACCUAUUUCAGGAGCUAUUGUGAGGCAUAAGUGAAAUAAUGCAUGUGGAGCUCUCAGGGGCUGGUAUAUAACAGGCAUUCAAAUAAUUAGUAAUAAUGUUCCUUGCCGCUGUCUUAGCCUUCAGGAUUUUUUCCCUUACCCCUAGUCUCCCUCUGCUAUAUCUCAGAUUGUCUAGAUCAAUCUUCCUGAAGACAUUUUUUUUAACAGCCACACCUGUGGCAUAUGAGAGAUGGCAGGCUACGGGUUGAAUCAGAGCCCCAGAUGGGACCUACACCACAAUCACAGCAACACUGGAUCCAAGCUGCAUCUUUGACCUAUGCAGCAACUUGCAACAACAAUGGAUUCUUUUUUUUUUUUUUUUGGUCUUUUUGGUCUUUUUGCCUUUUCUUGGGCCGCUCCCGCGCCAUAUGGAGGUUCUCAGGCUAGGGGUCCAACCGGAGCUGUAGCCACCAGCCUACACCACAGCCACAGCAACUCGGGAUCGGAGCCUCAUCUGCGACCUACACCACAGAUCAUGGCAACGCCGGAUCCUUAACCCACUGAGCAAGGCCAGGGACUGAACCUGCAACCUCAUGGUUCCUAGUCAGGUUCGUUAACCACUGAGCCACAAUGGGAACUCCAACAACAAACAACAACGGAUACUUAACCCACUGAGGCUUUCCGGGGAUUGGAUCUCACGGACACUAUGUUGGCUUCUUACCCACUGAGCCACAACAGGAGCUCCUUGAAGACCAUUUUAGUAACAUAAAAACCCUCAUGACUGCUCUAACCUUGUUGGAUAAAAAUCUUAAAUGCCUUACAUUGUGCUAGAAACCAUCUAUUAGAUUUUCUUAAAUUUGUUUCUCACAACUUUCAAAAAUACUCUGGUCCUCCAAACUCACUAUAUCUGCUAUGCCGUAACAGGAACUCCGAUUUCACUCAUUUUAGACACGAGAGUUUUUAAAAUUCAAAUAUGGUCACUGUAGAAAUUAUGUGUAUGAGUUACCUAUUGCUGUGUAACAGAUUACUAUCUUAGUUUCUGUGGGUCAAGAAUUUGGGAGUGGCUUAGCUGGGUGGUUCUAGCUUAGGGUCUCUAGAGGUUGGAGAGGAAUUAGACUCCACCUUUUGAAUGGAUUGUCAAGGAAUUUGAGAACAUAUUUUAAAUCAUCUUUGUGGGUUUAAUUAUUGUGUGUUCACUAUAGAGAAAUUAGAAAACAAAGACAAGCCCAAAAAAGGAAGAAAUUCUUAUCCAAUAAUGGAUAACAUCACCAUAUGGAGGUAUAUAAUUCCAGUCUUACUAUGUUUUUUUUGGCCAUGCCCAUCACAUGCGGAAGUUCCUGGCCAGUAUUGAACCCAUGCCACCACUGUAAUCAGCCUCGGCAGUGACAAAGCCAGAUCCUUAACCACUAAGCCACAAGGGAACUCCUCAAAAUACAAACUAUGUAUACUAUUUUGUAACCUGCUCUUCACUUAAUAUUAUGUAAAGCUACUUCUCAUGUCAGAGAUUCCUUCAUAACAUUUUAAAUACCUGCAUAACAUUUUAUUAUAUGUAUGUACUAUAACUUUUUUUUUUUCUUUCUUUUUUUUUUUUUUUGCUUUUUAGUGCCACACUCAUGGCAUAUGGAGGUUCCCAGGCUAGGGAUCUAAUCAGAGCUACAGCUGCCAACCACAGCCACAGCCCCAGAAACACCAGAUCUGAGCCGAGUCUGCAACCUACACCACAGCUCACAGCGAUGCUGGAUCCUUAAACCACUGAGUGAGGCCACGGAUCAAACCCGCGAUCUCAUGGUUCUAGUCAGAUUCAUUUCUACUGCGCCACUAUGGGAACUCCUAUUAUAACUUCUUUAAUUUUUUUUUUUUUUUUCUUUUUAGGACCGCACUGUGGCACAUGGAAAUUUCCAGGCUUGGGGUACAAUUGGAACUGCAGCUGGGGGCCUACACCACAGCUCACAGCAACACAACACCAGAUCCUUAACCCACUGAGUGAGGCCAGGGAUUGAACCUGCAUCCUAAUGGAUACUAGUUGGGUUCAUUACAACUGAGCCACUAGGGAACUCCUAAAAUGUACUGUUAAAAGCACUUUACACCAAGUAUCCUUGAAGCACAGAUCCUCCAGGGCUUUGGAUCUGCUGUUCCCUCUGCCAGGAAUGCUCUUACCCUUGACAAACACAAAGCUUGCUUCCCCACUUACUCAAAAAUUUCGUUCAGAUACCACCUCUUCAAAGGCUCCUGCUCUCUCCAACUUCUAACUUCCUUACCCUGCUUUUGCUUCCUAUCUCCACCAUCCAAUUUAUGUAGGUAUUAGUGUCUCACUCCCUGAAUUUAAACUCCAUUUAACUAGAUUAUCUCCAGAACCUAGCUAAUGCUUGUAGACCAUUCAGAACAUCUUGUUUAAUUAUAAGUAAACUAAUACCAUCCCAAUUACAGGCACAAAUUCUAUAAUAUAUAUGGAAGGGGUUGGAACAUUUAUUAACAUACAUAGAUGUGGGGCAUUAUUAUUGUCUGAAUUUUUGAUUGGAUCCAGAAAAAACAAGUAGAACCAACUUAGCUCUGUCGAUCCCUAAAGUUCUCCGUUUUCUUCAUUUCGGUUAUUACGUGCCCACACUGCG